This 468-nucleotide ribosomal RNA is filed under the name uncultured Desulfobulbus sp. RNAcentral's name for it is "bacterial SSU rRNA". It matches the Rfam family "Bacterial small subunit ribosomal RNA", at positions 920 to 1382 of the family's 1533-position model. Lineage: Bacteria; Pseudomonadati; Thermodesulfobacteriota; Desulfobulbia; Desulfobulbales; Desulfobulbaceae. The record is from RNAcentral.
CCCGCACAAGCGGUGGAGUAUGUGGUUUAAUUCGAUGCAACGCGAAGAACCUUACCUGGUCUUGACAUCCCGGAGACCCUUAGGAAACUAGGGGGUGCUUCCAUCUGGAAGAAUCUGGAGACAGGUGCUGCAUGGCUGUCGUCAGCUUGUGUCGUGAGAUGUUGGGUUAAGUCCCGCAACGAGCGCAACCCUUGCCUUUAGUUGCCAGCAGUUCGGCUGGGCACUCUAAAGGGACUGCCGGUGUUAAACCGGAGGAAGGUGGGGAUGACGUCAAGUCCUCAUGGCCUUUAUGACCAGGGCUACACACGUACUACAAUGGCCGAUACAAAGGGCAGCGACACUGCGAGGUGAAGCCAAUCCCGUAAAAUCGGUCUCAGUCCGGAUUGGAGUCUGCAACUCGACUCCAUGAAGUUGGAAUCGCUAGUAAUCGUGGAUCAGCAUGCCACGGUGAAUACGUUCCCGGGCCUU